CUCAAAUGUCAGAUCCGUUAACUGCAUUGAUGUAUGCUGUCCAAGUGAUGAACUUUCUUAAGACUCUUAUUGUUAGGACACUUAGGUACAGAGAAGAAUCUGUUAUAGAAUCAGCUCCUUAUUCCCACCUUGAGCCUUCUGAUGAGAAUGGGCACCAGAGCUUUUCUCAACUGUCUUUCAUGGAGGCUAAUGAGGAAGCCAGUGAGGGGAGUGAAGGGCAGAAAGUAUUUAUUUCUGAAGAACCUAGCAUUGGGAGCCCCA
RNAcentral lists this unclassified non-coding RNA (261 nucleotides) under Hevea brasiliensis (rubber tree). Lineage: Eukaryota; Viridiplantae; Streptophyta; Magnoliopsida; Malpighiales; Euphorbiaceae. The record is from RNAcentral.